AGUGAACGCUGGCGGUAGGCCUAACGCAUGCAAGUCGAACGGCAGCACAGUAAGAGCUUGCUCUUACGGGUGGCGAGUGGCGGACGGGUGAGGAAUACAUCGGAAUCUACUUUUUCGUGGGGGAUAACGUAGGGAAACUUACGCUAAUACCGCAUACGACCUACGGGUGAAAGCAGGGGAUCUUCGGACCUUGCGCGAUUGAAUGAGCCGAUGUCGGAUUAGCUAGUUGGCGGGGUAAAGGCCCACCAAGGCGACGAUCCGUAGCUGGUCUGAGAGGAUGAUCAGCCACAAUGGAACUGAGACACGGUCCAGACUCCUACGGGAGGCAGCAGUGGGGAAUAUUGGACAAUGGGCGCAAGCCUGAUCCAGCCAUACCGCGUGGGUGAAGAAGGCCUUCGGGUUGUAAAGCCCUUUUGUUGGGAAAGAAAAGCAGCAGGUUAAGACCCCGCUGUUCUGACGGUACCCAAAGAAUAAGCACCGGCUAACUUCGU
Molecule: ribosomal RNA, 491 nt
Filed under: uncultured bacterium
Lineage: Bacteria
Description: partial 16S ribosomal RNA
Rfam family: Bacterial small subunit ribosomal RNA
Source: RNAcentral